AUACGGGAGGCAGCAGUAAGGAAUAUUGGUCAAUGGAGGCAACUCUGAACCAGCCAUGCCGCGUGAAGGAUGAAGGCCCUAUGGGUUGUAAACUUCUUUUGUAUGGGAAGAAACCCUGAUACGUGUAUCAGGCUGACGGUACCAUAAGAAUAAGGAUCGGCUAACUCCGUGCCAGCAGCCGCGGUAAUACGGAGGAUCCAAGCGUUAUCCGGAUUUAUUGGGUUUAAAGGGUGCGUAGGCGGCUUUGUAAGUCAGUGGUGAAAGCCUGUCGCUUAACGACAGAACUGCCAUUGAUACUGCAGAGCUUGAAUAUGUUUGAAGUGGGCGGAAUGUGUAGUGUAGCGGUGAAAUGCUUAGAUAUUACACAGAACACCAAUUGCGAAGGCAGCUCACUAAACCAUUAUUGACGCUGAGGCACGAAAGUGUGGGGAUCAAACAGGAUUAGAUACCCCGGUAGUCCU
RNAcentral lists this ribosomal RNA (461 nucleotides) under uncultured bacterium. RNAcentral's name for it is "bacterial SSU rRNA". It matches the Rfam family "Bacterial small subunit ribosomal RNA", at positions 339 to 797 of the family's 1533-position model. The record is from RNAcentral.